Molecule: small RNA, 2145 nt
Filed under: Pan troglodytes (chimpanzee)
Lineage: Eukaryota; Metazoa; Chordata; Mammalia; Primates; Hominidae
Description: retained intron
Source: RNAcentral
GGGCCGGAUCCCGGACCAUGGCGGCGGCGGGGGGCGCCGAGGGGCGGCGCGCGGCCCUGGAGGCGGCGGCGGCGGCGGCAGCUCCUGAGCGGGGAGGCGGGAGCUGCGUGCUGUGCUGCGGAGACCUGGAGGCCACGGCGCUGGGCCGCUGCGACCACCCGGUGUGCUACCGCUGCUCUACCAAGAUGCGGGUGCUCUGCGAGCAGCGCUACUGCGCCGUGUGCCGCGAGGAGCUGCGCCAGGUGGUCUUUGGGAAGAGGCUUCCUGCCUUCGCCACCAUCCCCAUCCACCAGCUGCAGCAUGAGAAGAAAUAUGAUAUCUACUUUGCAGAUGGAAAGGUGUACGCAUUGUACAGGCAGCUGCUGCAGCACGAGUGCCCGCGGUGCCCCGAGCUGCCACCUUUCAGCCUCUUCGGGGACCUGGAGCAGCACAUGCGGAGGCAGCAUGAGCUCUUCUGCUGCCGGCUGUGCCUCCAGCACCUCCAGAUCUUCACAUAUGAGCGCAAGUGGUACUCGCGCAAGGACCUGGCCCGGCAUCGCAUGCAGGGUGACCCUGAUGACACGUCGCACCGUGGGCACCCGCUCUGCAAGUUCUGUGACGAGCGCUACCUGGACAAUGAUGAGCUGCUUAAGCACCUGCGCCGCGACCACUACUUCUGCCACUUCUGCGACUCGGACGGGGCCCAGGACUACUACAGGUGGGCCGGGCAGCAGACAGACAGAUGACCCUCCCUCCCCCAGGGCGUGGGGCUAACCGGGCUGCAGCCCUCCUACCGACACCCCAUCUCCUGCCAGCGACUAUGCCUACCUGCGUGAGCACUUCCGGGAGAAGCACUUUCUGUGUGAGGAAGGCCGCUGCAGCACGGAGCAGUUCACCCACGCCUUCCGCACCGAGAUCGACCUCAAGGCCCACAGGACGGCCUGCCACAGUCGCAGCCGCGCCGAGGCACGCCAGAACCGCCACAUUGACCUGCAGUUCAGCUACGCGCCACGGCACUCGCGCCGGAACGAGGGGGUCGUUGGUGGCGAAGACUACGAGGAGGUGGACAGGUACAGCCGCCAGGGCCGAGUGGCCCGGGCUGGCACUCGCGGAGCCCAGCAGAGCCGCCGAGGAAGCUGGAGGUACAAAAGGGAAGAAGAGGACCGAGAAGUAGCAGCUGCUGUCCGGGCCUCCGUGGCCGCACAGCAGCAGGAGGAGGCUCGCAGGAGUGAGGAUCAGGAGGAAGGUGGUAGGCCCAAGAAGGAGGAGGCAGCGGCGCGGGGUCCUGAGGAUCCCCGUGGCCCCCGGCGCUCACCCCGGACUCAGGGCGAAGGCCCAGGCCCCAAGGAAACCUCGACAAAUGGUCCUGUAAGCCAAGAAGCCUUCUCGGUGACAGGCCCAGCCGCCCCAGGCGCCCUCCCACCACCCAGCCCAAAGCUCAAGGACGAAGACUUCCCCAGCCUCUCUGCCUCCACUUACUCCUCCUGCUCCACUGCAGCAACCCCGGGCCCUGUGGGGUUGGCGCUGCCGUAUGCCAUCCCUGCCAGAGGCAGGAGUGCCUUCCAGGAGGAAGACUUCCCCGCCCUGGUGUCCUCGGUGCCCAAGCCUGGCACCGCCCCCACCAGCCUUGUCUCUGCCUGGAACAGCAGCAGUAGCAGCAAGAAGGUAGCACAGCUCCCACUCUCGGCGCAGGCUACCGGCAGCGGCCAGCCCACCAGGAAGGCUGGGAAGGGGAGCAGGGGCAGCAGGAAGGGCGGCCCGCCCUUCACACAGGAGGAGGAGGGCGGCAGCCCGGCCGUGCAGGAGCUUCUAAGCACACGCCCCACGGGCUCCGUCUCCUCCACACUGGGGCCGGCCUCCAUCCAACCCUCUAAAGUUGGGAAGAAGAAGAAAGUGGGCUCGGAGAAGCCAGGCACCACAUUGCCACAGCCCCCGCCCACUACCUGUCCCCCAGGGGCUUUGCAGGCCCCGGAAGCUCCUGCCAGCAGAGCCGAGGGGCCAGUUGCCGUCGUCGUUAAUGGACACACAGAGGGCCCGGCCCCUGCUCGGAGUGCCCCCAAGGAACCCCCUGGGCUCCCAAGGCCCCUGGGGUCCUUCCCCUGCCCCACGCCACAGGAGGACUUCCCAGCGCUCGGCGGCCCCUGCCCACCCCGGAUGCCGCCGCCC